GCUACUCAAGGGUGUAUGGUGGAUGGCUUGACAAAACAUGCUGAUGAAGGACGUAGCAGUCUGCGAUAAGCUUCGGUGAGGUGACAAGCAACCUUUGACCCGGAGAUGUCCGAAUGGGGAAACCCGGCUGGGGUAAUGCCCAGUCACUGUGCACUAAAUACAUAGGUGUACAGGAGGCACCCAGGGAAGUGAAACAUCUCAGUACCUGGAGGAAAAGAAAAUAACGAGUACUAUUCUCAUCUUGACGCUCGACCUAGUCGAGAAUCGAGAUGACGAAUAGUUGCUUACAUUCCCAAAGUAGUGGCGAGCGAAAUGGGAUCAGCCUAAACCAACCAAGUGAAAUACGCUGAAGUAUCUCUUCGGAGAUGUGGAUGCGAUAUGAAAGGUAACAGCCGUUGCUUGGUUGGUGUUGUAAGUCCAGAUGUGCACAUCUGUUAAUGUGCGGUAUGUAUAGAUGAUCUUUAGUGGAAUCUUCUGGAAAGAAGAACCAAAGAAGGUGAUAGUCCUGUACGCAAAAAGGAUGCAUCUACAUACGGUCUGGCACUUAAGUACGGCGGGACACGUGAAAUCCUGUCGGAAUCUGCCGCGACUAUGCGGCAAGGCUAAAUACAUGUUUUGAUCGAUAGUGUACUAGUACCGUGAGGGAAAGCUGAAAAG
RNAcentral lists this ribosomal RNA (657 nucleotides) under Candidatus Uhrbacteria bacterium. Its description in RNAcentral is "partial 23S ribosomal RNA". It matches the Rfam family "Bacterial large subunit ribosomal RNA", at positions 1 to 521 of the family's 2925-position model. Lineage: Bacteria; Candidatus Uhriibacteriota. The record is from RNAcentral.